This 409-nucleotide ribosomal RNA is filed under the name uncultured Synurales. RNAcentral describes it as "partial small subunit ribosomal RNA". It matches the Rfam family "Eukaryotic small subunit ribosomal RNA", at positions 30 to 432 of the family's 1831-position model. The record is from RNAcentral. Lineage: Eukaryota; Synurophyceae; Synurales.
GCUUGUCUCAAAGAUUAAGCCAUGCAUGUCUAAGAAUAAGCCCAUAGAACGGCGAAUCUGCGAAUGGCUCAUUACAUCAGUUAUUGUUUAUUUGAUGGUACACUAUGCCUUUUAGGCAGGGCUACUUGGAUAACCGUAGUAAUUCUAGAGCUAAUACAUGCAUAAAUCCCCGACUGCUUGGAAGGGGUGUAUUUAUUAGAUGGAAACCAAUUCGGGGUAACCCGGUUAAUGGUGAUUCAUAAUAACUUUCGGAUCGACGCAAGUCGAUGCAUCAUUCAAGUUUCUGCCCUAUCAGUUGUGGAUGGUAGGGUAUUGGCCUACCAUGACUUUAACGGGUAACGGAGAAUUAGGGUUCGAUUCCGGAGAGGGAGCCUGAGAAAUGGCUACCACAUCCAAGGAAGGCAGCAGG